AAUAUCCGUUCUUUGUUAAUCUCUUCUCUCCCCACUAUCCAUAGGGAAUGAAUACCACGUAACCAGACAGCCAUAAACCAUCUGCUGCAGACCACUGAUAGGAGUCUAUAGACCACCAGUUUGGGAAACCUCUGCUUCACACUUCUAAAUGAUUCGACAUUUGUUCCGUCUGAUGACACCACGAAUCUGGGAAUGAAGAACUUCUUAGAGCUGAUUGGAAAUGGCAUUACGGAGCUGAAACUUAACUGGAGGAAAUAUAUCUCCUGAAGAAGAAAAUAUAAUGCACUAUAAGGAUCUGACUUCUGGUGAAAAAUUCAAGCCUAGAGAAAACUUGUCCGCUUUGUUAGGAAGAAUGGGUUGGACAAUUUUCUUCAGUUCCAAAGGAUAUCUGAAUGCCAUGCUGAGCUUAAUCUCUGCAGCAUGCUCUGUGCUUCUCAUCUCUUCCUGAUGCACUGCAUGGUUAUCCUGAAGGGGACGAUAAAGAAACUGGCCACCAAGAUGGUAAUCACUAGUGGAAAUGAAGAAGAUAAAGGGAGUCAAGAAAAGGAAAGCAAAGAAGAAACCAUCUUGGCAAUGCUUGGAAUUAUUGGGACAAUUCUGAACCUCAUUGUGAUCAUUUUUGUGUAUAUUUACACAACGUUGUAAACUAGAAGGCAUGCAAAUAGACCAGAUAAAAUGGCCAUUAAGAAUGACAACAAACAUUGCUGACUAUUGACAAGUUCUUUAAUCAGAAUUGACUCUGUAUUAUAUUAACACAUCAUAAAAGCACUGCCUGCAGGCAGCGAAGACUGAAGCACAAUUAAUUUAACAAGACUUUUUCACACAGUAAUAAGCUUAACUCUUCUAUCCUGCCCUCUCCCUUUCGGUUUGGUUUUCAGUUUGGGGGAGAAUGACUGCAGUUAUGUAAGCUGUAGCUUUGAAGAAAUCCACCAGGGAUAUGUUGUUUUAACACAAUUUAAAAAAAAAAAAAAAAAGAAAAAAUAGAAAGAAAAAAAAGAAAAUAAAGAAACUGUACACUAUAUAUAAUUAGAAAUG
This 1035-nucleotide long non-coding RNA is filed under the name Manacus vitellinus (golden-collared manakin). RNAcentral describes it as "lncRNA (ENSMVIG00005006070.1)". Lineage: Eukaryota; Metazoa; Chordata; Aves; Passeriformes; Pipridae. The record is from RNAcentral.